GUUGUGCCGUUGAAACUGAUGUGCUUGAGUGUAGAUGAGGUAGGCGGAAUGAGUAGUGUAGCGGUGAAAUGCAUAGAUAUUACUCAGAACACCGAUUGCGAAGGCAGCUUACUAAACUACAACUGACGCUGAGGCACGAAAGCGUGGGUAUCAAACAGGAUUAGAUACCCUGGUAGUCCGCGCCGUAAACGAUGAAUGCUCGCCGUUAUUCCGCUCAAGGAAUAGUGGCUAAGCUAACGCGUUAAGCAUUCCGCCUGGGGAGUACGAUCGCAAGGUUGAAACUCAAAGGAAUUGACGGGGGCCCGCACAAGCGGUGGAGCAUGUGGCUCAAUUCGAUGCAACGCGAAGAACCUUACCUAGGCUCGAACGCUAGGGGACCGAUCCUGAAAGGG
RNAcentral lists this ribosomal RNA (392 nucleotides) under uncultured bacterium. Its description in RNAcentral is "bacterial SSU rRNA". It matches the Rfam family "Bacterial small subunit ribosomal RNA", at positions 618 to 1009 of the family's 1533-position model. The record is from RNAcentral.